This is a long non-coding RNA of Magallana angulata, 2629 nucleotides long. RefSeq lists it as uncharacterized. The record is from RefSeq and is a predicted model, not a curated record. The transcript is spliced from 5 exons. Lineage: Eukaryota; Metazoa; Mollusca; Bivalvia; Ostreida; Ostreidae.
UGAGAAAACAUUUACCAGGUAAAUGAGCAUUACCAUAGCAAAGACCAAAGAAGCUACCAGUACAUCAAGCAGAAACAUAGCAUCCUUUCAAUCUGUAACCGGGACGCCCAAUCUUGUAGGGUGGAGUCGCAGUAACUACAGUUUCAACAAAUGUCCUAAUGAUGGCACUUAAUUUUCAAAAGAUUUCCUCGAUGAGGCCAUUAUUCGACCCCUAAACACACGGAUCAUCCAGACAACAAUAACUUGGGGGACAGUCGUUCUGUUGAUAACAAUUCCCUGAUUUUAAUGAAACGCCACUGAGCUAAAUCUCCUUCUUGUUAUGUACUUUGGCACUAAAUAGGGAGAUUCCUCUUUAAUGCCAAUCGUGUUAUUGAGGUGAUUUUAGAUAGGCUAAUUCCAGAGCGGUUAAUUUUUCCCUAUAUAUUUGUAGAGAGUAACUUUUGUAUCACUUUGUUCAAACACUCAGGUGAACGCUCCACCUGCGUAUUUCUGGUGGUUGAUUUUUAUGAAGUCUCCAAAUCACGUACAGAUGGUUUGGGGCCCAGAUCGAGCCAAAUUUGUUGCCAACACCUUGCUGACCUCAGAUUUACAUAUCCUUUAUUGCAUCAGUAUUUAGUAGUAAUGAGUGGCUAGUCAAAGUGAGAUUUUUGAGUGCAACACAAGACAACAGAUUGGCCAAUAAAUGUCUCAAUAUUUAACGUGUCAAUGGCACUCGAGCAGACCACUAUCUCGAGAUUUUUAACUCCCUCACUGUCUGGUGACUUUCUCUUCAUCCAUUGAAAGUUAGAGAUUUUUAGGCAACAUGUUCAAGAGUAGUCAACUGUAACUAUUUUUUGACUGAAAAUCAACAAUGGUGGAACUGAGCUCCAGCUUGGGACCUCACACUGUCUUAGUUUAUGUUUUUUUGGUCAUGCUUUCUAAACAUUUCAAGGGUCCUCUCUCUUUUGCUAUUGACACAUCAAAAGACUCCCAUCAUGUAAAUGUAAUAUCCAUAAAUUAUGGUGAUGAAUUCAUUGAAAGGUAAUUCCGUAACAAAAAUCAACAACUGAAAACUAAUUAUCUGCCAUAUUAAUGUGGAGAAUUUCUAUAUCAAGUCCACUGAAUUCCUAAAAGAACUUCAACAUAAUUCCAAUUAAUAUUUUCACCAGAAAGUUUAAACUAAACAGUCAUAACACAGUGUAAUGAUUUUUGUCUUUUAUGUUACAGAUGGCACAACACUGGAAAGGAAACCAGAUUCCGAUAAAUGGAAAAUGGACAAACAUAAAAAUCCAUAACCUGUGUUGGACAGUGGAAGUGGAAAUUAACGUGUGUUAAGAGCUUGCCUCAUAGUGUAGCCUCGAUCUACACCUGCAUCCGUCACAGAAAAGUACACUGUUGAUCAAUAAAUGAAAGGCAGCCCCACAUCAGAAGAAAUGAAAUGCGCGGCCACACAUCAAAGGAUGGAAAAAAAAGGAAUGCAUACCACAACACCAACCAGUUUCUUGGUGCUCCAUCAUUGAGAAAACAGCAAUGUUUUUAAGAUCUCAAGAUUUUCAGGUUCAAUGGGAUCAGUAUCCUCCCUAAGCAUGAAACUGCCAAUGUUAAUUUGAUUAGAAGACAGAUGUUAUGCAACUGCAAUGCAAUGAAACUAUUCAAACAUUCUGAUGAAUCAGCUCAAAAAGACCCCCAAAAAUCAAUAAUGACAACCACAGGAGAUUAUCACCUGCCUGAUGGAUAGUUCCUUAUACAGUAAUUUGUGAAGAGGUUGUAAAUUCAAUUUUUGUUUUUUUGUGUGUGUUUUACUGAAAUCAAGUCGAGAGAACUUGCAGUCAGAUAGAGUUUACAUCUUCAGAUAGAGGAAGUGAAUACUUUGAUAUGUUGAUAUGUGAAGUGGAGUACUUUCACAGUUUAUAUUGUAACAAACUUUUAUUGAACAAUAAAUAUUUAUAUUCUGCAUUCCAUCACUUUGAUAGGCAUAUGUCAGAAUUCUAUUCAUCAAGGACUAUAUAUAUAGGGUUGAAACUUUGAUUCACCAAUGAAAUUAUAUGAUAUUUUAAUUAUAUUAUUGUAUUGAUUAUUUUAAGGUUUUUCAUGACUUUUGUCUUCCCCAAUGUAAUGUUAUCUUCCUCCAUGUUCCUAGCAUAUGUAAUUUACAGAUUAUAUUUUUCAGAAAUCUACAAGGAAGUUUAUCUUAAUGCCAUCAUGAAUACAUGUAUGUACCAUGUAAGAGAAAGAGGUUUUGUUAGAUUAUUGUUUUUUUUAAAUUAAAAACAGAUUUUGUUUUUAGGCUUUCCUAUGAAUGCUUUGUGUGUGUUAUUGUUCUGCUUUGUGUUUUUCAUCAAUUGACAUACUUAUUUUGUAACUUUGAAAACAAAGUACAUUAUACAUCCACUUUGGUAUCUAUUUGAUUUUUAAGAUGUGAAGCCAAUGAAAAUGCAAUUUUUUUCAUAAUAAUGGCUUCUUUGCAUUAAUGUAGAACAAUAAAUGAUAUGUUUAAUUUGUUUGCAUAUAGGUAUAUAUCAACUUAUUGUAACACUUGCCAUUCAAUUACAUUGCAUUUUCAUUAUUUAUCAAAACAGAUCCCAAGAUUGAAUUUCACUGUAAGACAUGAACAAACACCGAUAUUGUGAAUAAAUAUGUUUUGCUUUUA